AUUAUCCCUCAUAAGUUUGACGACAAGAGGUACCGUUUCUCUUUAAAAAAGGUUAUUAACUAUAAAAAUUAUUAAUUUAUAGUUAUUUUUUAAAGUUAAUACGGUGGCACAGAAUCGGAGGCCCCGACUGUUUACUAAAAACACAGCUCAGUGCAAUCAUAAAAAUGAUAGUAUACUGAGUGAGAUUUGCCCGAUGCCAUUAAUAUAAGAGCGGUCAUUACAUAAAAGUGACUUAUCGAAAAUCUGGUUAAUAGCGGUCUUAACUAUGAGGAUCCUAAGGUAGCAAAAUCAGUUGGCCAUUAAAUGUGGUCCGGUAUCAAUAAUUUAACGAUGGUCUCACUGUCUCUACAACUUGCUCAGUGAAAUUGAAUUACGCGUGCAGAUGCGCCGUUACUUACAGGGGGACGGGAAGACCCUAUGCAG
Molecule: ribosomal RNA, 423 nt
Filed under: Schizophyllum radiatum
Lineage: Eukaryota; Fungi; Basidiomycota; Agaricomycetes; Agaricales; Schizophyllaceae
Description: LSU rRNA
Rfam family: Bacterial large subunit ribosomal RNA
Source: RNAcentral